GUGGUAAUGCCGGAUGCUCCAGUUGAUCGCAUGGUCUUCUGGGAAAGCUUUCGCGGUAUGGGAUGGGGUCGCGUCCUAUCAGCUUGACGGCGGGGUAACGGCCCACCGUGGCUUCGACGGGUAGCCGGCCUGAGAGGGCGACCGGCCACAUUGGGACUGAGAUACGGCCCAGACUCCUACGGGAGGCAGCAGUGGGGAAUAUUGCACAAUGGGCGCAAGCCUGAUGCAGCGACGCCGCGUGAGGGAUGGAGGCCUUCGGGUUGUAAACCUCUUUUAUCGGGGAGCAAGCGUGAGUGAGUUUACCCGUUGAAUAAGCACCGGCUAACUACGUGCCAGCAGCCGCGGUAAUACGUAGGGUGCAAGCGUUAUCCGGAAUUAUUGGGCGUAAAGGGCUCGUAGGCGGUUCGUCGCGUCCGGUGUGAAAGUCCAUCGCUUAACGGUGGAUCCGCGCCGGGUACGGGCGGGCUUGAGUGCGGUAGGGGAGACUGGAAUUCCCGGUGUAACGGUGGAAUGUGUAGAUAUC
RNAcentral lists this ribosomal RNA (523 nucleotides) under Bifidobacterium longum subsp. infantis. RNAcentral describes it as "bacterial SSU rRNA". It matches the Rfam family "Bacterial small subunit ribosomal RNA", at positions 160 to 698 of the family's 1533-position model. RNAcentral also lists the same sequence under 1 other name. The record is from RNAcentral. Lineage: Bacteria; Bacillati; Actinomycetota; Actinomycetes; Bifidobacteriales; Bifidobacteriaceae.